This 69-nucleotide transfer RNA is filed under the name Bos indicus x Bos taurus (hybrid cattle). It matches the Rfam family "tRNA". From Rfam's summary of the family: Transfer RNA (tRNA) molecules are approximately 80 nucleotides in length. The record is from Rfam by way of RNAcentral. Lineage: Eukaryota; Metazoa; Chordata; Mammalia; Artiodactyla; Bovidae.
CCUGGUGGCUGAGAGUGUAAAGCGUCCGCCUGCAAUGCGGGUGACCUAGGUUCGAUCCCUGGGUCAGGA